This 205-nucleotide long non-coding RNA is filed under the name Elaeis guineensis (African oil palm). Its description in RNAcentral is "long non-coding RNA (EGUI_LNC012945)". Lineage: Eukaryota; Viridiplantae; Streptophyta; Magnoliopsida; Arecales; Arecaceae. The record is from RNAcentral.
GUGACAAUUGUGAAGAAGAUGACGGUAGAGAUCGGUGGGAGGUGACAGUGAGGAGAAUGGGAAGGAGGUGGGCACCACGAUGGCUUGGGAAGGCGAUGGUGGAUACCUGCGGGAGGUGGCAGUGAGGGGAGUGGAGAGGAGGCAGGCAUCUGCAAGAGGAGAGACGACGACGGAGAUCGAUAUAUGGGAGGUGAUAGCAGAGAUG